AAACUUACCUGGUUGGGGAGAUUCCAUGACCAUGAAGGUGGUUUUCCCAGGGCGAGGCUUAUCCAUUGCACCCCGUAUGUGCUGGCCCCUGCGAUUUCCCCAAAAGUGGGAAACUCGACUGCAUAUCUGUGGUAGUGGGGGACGGCGUCCGUGCUCUCCCCUG
Echinops telfairi (small Madagascar hedgehog) is the source of this 163-nucleotide small nuclear RNA. RefSeq annotates it as U1 spliceosomal RNA. The record is from RefSeq and is a predicted model, not a curated record. Lineage: Eukaryota; Metazoa; Chordata; Mammalia; Afrosoricida; Tenrecidae. The transcript has a single exon.